RNAcentral lists this transfer RNA (84 nucleotides) under bacterium. RNAcentral describes it as "tRNA-Leu". It matches the Rfam family "tRNA". From Rfam's summary of the family: Transfer RNA (tRNA) molecules are approximately 80 nucleotides in length. Their secondary structure includes four short double-helical elements and three loops (D, anti-codon, and T loops). Further hydrogen bonds mediate the characteristic L-shaped molecular structure. tRNAs have two regions of fundamental functional importance: the anti-codon, which is responsible for specific mRNA codon recognition, and the 3' end, to which the tRNAs corresponding amino acid is attached (by aminoacyl-tRNA synthetases). tRNAs cope with the degeneracy of the genetic code in two manners: having more than one tRNA (with a specific anti-codon) for a particular amino acid; and 'wobble' base-pairing, i.e. permitting non-standard base-pairing at the 3rd anti-codon position. The record is from RNAcentral.
GCCGAGGUGGCGGAAUCGGCAGACGCACUGGCCCUAGGAGCCAGGGAUCGAAAGAUCGUGGGAGUUCAAAUCUCCCCCUCGGCA